GCAAACUUGGUCAUUUAGAGGAAGUAAAAGUCGUAACAAGGUUUCCGUAGGUGAACCUGCGGAAGGAUCAUUAUCGAAGGGGGGAGACCCCCUGCGAGAUAGCACCCUUGAUUUUCGAGUACCUUCUGUUUCCUCGGCGGGUUCGCCCGCCAAUGGGGACCAACUCAAAACCUUUUUGCAAUAGCAGUACCUUCUGAUAAGCAAAGCAAAAGUCAAAACUUUCAACAACGGAUCUCUUGGUUCUGGCAUCGAUGAAGAACGCAGC
This 265-nucleotide unclassified non-coding RNA is filed under the name uncultured fungus. RNAcentral's name for it is "partial contains small subunit ribosomal RNA, internal transcribed spacer 1, and 5.8S ribosomal RNA". The stretch from base 1 to 73 matches the Rfam family "Eukaryotic small subunit ribosomal RNA", at positions 1759 to 1831 of the family's 1831-position model. The record is from RNAcentral. Lineage: Eukaryota; Fungi.